Molecule: ribosomal RNA, 1181 nt
Filed under: uncultured bacterium
Lineage: Bacteria
Description: bacterial SSU rRNA
Rfam family: Bacterial small subunit ribosomal RNA
Source: RNAcentral
CAGCAGCCGCGGUCAAUAUCGUUAGGGGUGCCAAGGCGGUUCAAAUUCCGGCCAAUUCACCUAGCGCGCGGUUAAAAGGCGGUGGGCGCCAAGUGCCGCGUUUGUGUCAAGAUCAGGCGUUCGCACAAUCCCCGGUGCUCAACCUGGGAAUUGCGCUUGUGACUGCACGGCUGGUAGUGCGGCAGAGGGGUGAUGGAAUUCCGCGUGUAGCAGUGAAAUGCGUACGAUAUGCGGAGGAACACCGAUGGCGUAAGGCAAUCCCCUGGGCCUGCACUGACGCUCAUGCACGAAAGCGUGGGGAGCAAACAGGAUUAGAUACCCUGGUAGUCCACGCCCUAAACGAUGUCAACUGGUUGUUGGGUCUCUUCUGACUCAGUAACGAAGCUAACGUCGUGAAGUUGACCGCCUGGGUCUUGCAAGUGAUGAUCAUGCAAGUAAGGCGCGGGAGCCGACGACCUCAUUCUCCUUGUAGUACACCGCCUAAGCGAACGUCGAACCUGUUUUGUUGGGAAUUUAUCGUCCGUGAUACUACAUGUUUACCGCAAAGCUUUAACCGACGACCGAAUGACCGCACCCGCCCUUGGCGAGGUACCGGCCGUCUAGGUAUGAAAACUAUUACGUCAUCGACGGGGACCCGCACCAGCGGUGGAUGAUGUGGUUUGAUUGGAUGCGACGCGAAAUACCUUACCCACUUCUGACAUGGCAGGAAGCCUCCAGAGAUGGAUUCGUGCUCGAAAGAGUAACCAUGCACACAGCGUGCUGCAUGGCUGUCGUCAGCUCGUGUCGUGAGAUGUCGGGUUAAGUCCCGCAACGAGCGCAACCCUUGCCAUUAGUUGCUACGAAAGGGCACUCUAAUGGCGACUGCCGGUGACACAACCGGAGGAAGGUGGGGUAUGACGUCAAGUCCUCAUGGCCCUUAUAGGUGGGGCUACACACGUCAUACAAUGGCCGGUACAAAGGGCAGCCAACCCGCGAGGGGGAGCCAAUCCCAUAAAGCCGGUCGUAGUCCGGAUCGCAGUCUGCAACUCGACUGCGUGAAGUCGGAAUCGCUAGUAAUCGUGGAUCAGCAUGUCACGGUGAAUACGUUCCCGGGUCUUGUACACACCGCCCGUCACACCAUGGGAGCGGGUCUCGCCAGAAGUAGUUAGCCUAACCGCAAGGGGGGCGAUUACCACGGCGGG